This 631-nucleotide ribosomal RNA is filed under the name uncultured bacterium. RNAcentral describes it as "bacterial SSU rRNA". It matches the Rfam family "Bacterial small subunit ribosomal RNA", at positions 8 to 651 of the family's 1533-position model. The record is from RNAcentral.
AGAGUUUGAUCCUGGCUCAGGAUGAACGCUAGCGGCAGGCCUAAUACAUGCAAGUCUAAAGGGGAGCAAUUUCCUUGGCGCACGGGUGCGUAACACGUAUGCAACCUGCCCACAACUGGGGGAUAACCUUCCGAAAGGGAGGAUAAUACCGCAUGACACACUGUCCCUGCAUGGGGAUGGUGUCAAAGCUUCGGCGGUUGUGGAUGGGCAUGCGGACGAUUAGCUAGUUGGCGGGGUAACGGCCCACCAAGGCAACGAUCGUUAGGGGAACUGAGAGGUUGGUCCCCCACACUGGCACUGAGAUACGGGCCAGACUCCUACGGGAGGCAGCAGUAGGGAAUAUUGGUCAAUGGGCGGAAGCCUGAACCAGCCACGCCGCGUGCAGGAAGAAGGCCCUCUGGGUUGUAAACUGCUUUUGACAGGGAACAAGUCGGCCAUGCGUGGCUAAGUGAGUGUACCUGUAGAAUAAGCCACGGCUAACUACGUGCCAGCAGCCGCGGUAAUACGUAGGUGGCAAGCGUUGUCCGGAUUUAUUGGGUUUAAAGGGUGCGUAGGCGGCCAUGUAAGUCAGUUGUGGAAUACCCCGGCUCAACCGGGGGGGUGCGAUUGAUACUGCGUGGCUUGAGUGGCA